GAGGAGGAGAGAGAAGGGCAUCGCAGUGGGGGGAGGAGAGAGAAAGGCAUCGCAGUGGGGGACAGGAGAGAGAAGGGCAUCGCAGUGGGGAGGAGGAGAGAGAAGGGCAUCGCAGUGGGGGUGAGGAGAGAGAAAGGCAUCACAGUGGGGGGGAGGAGAGAGAAGGGCAUCGCAGUGGGGGGGAGGAGAGAGAAGGGCAUCGCAGUGGGGGGGAGGAGAGAGAAAGGCAUCGCAGUGGGGGGGAGGAGAGAGAAGGCCAUCGCAGUGGGGGGGAGGAGAGAGAAGGCCAUCGCAGUGGGGGGGAGGAGAGAGAAGGGCAUCGCAGUGGAGGAGAGAGAAGGGCAUCGCAGUGGAGGAGAGAGAAAGGCAUCGCAGUGGAGGAGAGAGAAAGGCAUUGCAGUGUAGGAGAGAGAAAGGCAUCACAGUGGAGGAGAGGAGAGAGAAAGGCAUCGCAGUGGAGGAGAGGAGAGAGAAGGGCAUCGCAGGGGAGGAGAGGAGAGAGAAGGGCAUCGCAGUGGAGGAGAGGAGAGAGAAGGGCAUCGCAGGGGAGGAAGAGAGAGAAGGGCAUCGCAGUGGAGGGGAGGAGCGAGAAGGCUAUCGCAGUGGGGGGGAGGAGAGAGAAGGGCAUCGCAGUGGGGGGGGAGAGAAGGUCAUCGCAGUGGGGGGGAGGAGAGAGAAAGGCAUCGCAGUGGGGAACAGGAGAGAGAAAGGCAUCGCAGUGGGGGGGAGGAGAGAGAAAGGCAUCGCAGUGGGGGUGGGGGAGAGAGAAGGUCAUCGCAGUGGGGGGGGAGGAGAGAGAAGGGCAUCGCAGGGGGACAGGAGAAAGAAAGGCAUCGCAGUGGGGGGAGGAGAGAGAAGGGCAUCGCAGUGGGGGGGGGGGAGAGAGAAAGGCAUCGCAGUGGGGGGGAGGAGAGAGAAGGGCAUCGCAGUGGGGGGGAGGAGAGAGAAGGGCAUCGCAGUGGGGGGUAGGAGAGAGAAGGGCUUCGCAGUGGGGGGGAGGAGAGAGAAAGGCAUCGCAGUGGAGGAGAGAGAAAGGCAUCACAGUGGAGGAGAGGAGAGAGAAAGGCAGCGCAGUGGAGGAGAGGAGAGAGA
RNAcentral lists this long non-coding RNA (1092 nucleotides) under Oncorhynchus mykiss (rainbow trout). RNAcentral's name for it is "lncRNA (ENSOMYG00000063971.1)". Lineage: Eukaryota; Metazoa; Chordata; Actinopteri; Salmoniformes; Salmonidae. The record is from RNAcentral.